RNAcentral lists this ribosomal RNA (862 nucleotides) under Alaimus sp. 3 GVDU-2019. Its description in RNAcentral is "SSU rRNA". It matches the Rfam family "Eukaryotic small subunit ribosomal RNA", at positions 97 to 960 of the family's 1831-position model. The record is from RNAcentral. Lineage: Eukaryota; Metazoa; Nematoda; Enoplea; Enoplida; Alaimidae.
CUCAUUACAACAGCCAUAGUUUAUUAGAUCUUACUUUCCUACAUGGAUAACUGUGGUAAUUCUAGAGCUAAUACAUGCCUUGAAGCCGAAACCUUACGGAAUCGGCGCAUUUAUUAGAUCAAAACCAAUCGGACUUCGGUCCGUCCUUUGGUGAAUCUGAAUAACUCAGCCGAUCGCAUGGUCCUAGUACCGGCGACGUAUCUUUCAAAUGUCUGCCUUAUCAACUUUCGAUGGUAGUUUAUGCGCCUACCAUGGUUGUAACGGGUAACGGAGAAUAAGGGUUCGAUACCGGAGAGGGAGCCUGAGAAACGGCUACCACAUCCAAGGAAGGCAGCAGGCACGCAAAUUACCCACUCCCGGCACGGUGAGGUAGUGACGAAAAAUAUCGAGAUGAUUCUCUCAGAGGCUCAUCAUCGGAAUGAGUACAAUUUAAAUCCUUUAACGAGGAUCUAUUGGAGGGCAAGUCUGGUGCCAGCAGCCGCGGUAAUUCCAGCUCCAAUAGCGUAUAUUAAAGUUGUUGCGUUUAAAAAGCUCGUAGUUGGAUCUGCGGCCUAGGAUGGCGGUCCCCCGAUGGGUGGUUACUGCUCGUUCCUGGCCUAAUUUCUCCGGUUUUCCCUUGGUGCUCUUAAUUGAGUGUCUUGGGCGGCUGGAAUGUUUACUUUGAAAAAAUUAGAGUGCUUAAAGCAGGCGCACGCCUGAAUAGUGGUGCAUGGAAUAAUGGAAUAGGACCUCGGUUCUAUUUUGUUGGUUUUCGGAGCUCGAGGUAAUGAUUAAGAGGGACAGACGGGGGCAUUCGUAUUGCGACGUUAGAGGUGAAAUUCUUGGAUCGUCGCAAGACGAACUACUGCGAAAGCAUUUGCCA